GACGAACGCUGGCGGCGUGCUUAACACAUGCAAGUCGAACGGUAAGGCCCUUCGGGGUACACGAGUGGCGAAUGGGUGAGUAACACGUGGGUGAUCUGCCCUGCACUUUGGGAUAAGCCUGGGAAACUGGGUCUAAUACCGAAUAUACCCUGCUGGUCGCAUGGCCUGGUGGGGGAAAGCUUUUGCGGUGUGGGAUGGGCCCGCGGCCUAUCAGCUUGUUGGUGGGGUGAUGGCCUACCAAGGCGACGACGGGUAGCCGGCCUGAGAGGGUGACCGGCCACACUGGGACUGAGAUACGGCCCAGACUCCUACGGGAGGCAGCAGUGGGGAAUAUUGCACAAUGGGCGCAAGCCUGAUGCAGCGACGCCGCGUGAGGGAUGACGGCCUUCGGGUUGUAAACCUCCUUCAAUAGGGACGAAGCGCAAGUGACGGUACCUAUAGAAGAAGGACCGGCCAACUACGUGCCAGCCGCCGCCGUAA
Molecule: ribosomal RNA, 480 nt
Filed under: uncultured bacterium
Lineage: Bacteria
Description: partial 16S ribosomal RNA
Rfam family: Bacterial small subunit ribosomal RNA
Source: RNAcentral